This 340-nucleotide ribosomal RNA is filed under the name uncultured bacterium. Its description in RNAcentral is "bacterial SSU rRNA". It matches the Rfam family "Bacterial small subunit ribosomal RNA", at positions 1 to 334 of the family's 1533-position model. The record is from RNAcentral.
UACGACGUAUCAGAGUUUGAUCCUGGCUCAGGAUGAACGCUGGCGGCGUGCUUAACACAUGCAAGUCGAACGGACAAGAGGAAGCCUAGCGAAUCUUGUUAGUGGCGGACGGGUGAGUAACGCGUGGGCAACCUGCCUCAUACUGGGGGAUAACACUUAGAAAUAGGUGCUAAUACCGCAUAAGCGCACGGUACCGCAUGGUACAGUGUGAAAAACUCCGGUGGUAUGAGAUGGACCCGCGUCUGAUUAGCUAGUUGGUGGGGUAACGGCCUACCAAGGCGACGAUCAGUAGCCGGCCUGAGAGGGUGACCGGCCACAUUGGGACUGAGACACGGCCCAA